This 945-nucleotide long non-coding RNA is filed under the name Homo sapiens (human). RNAcentral describes it as "inactivation escape 1". The record is from RNAcentral. Lineage: Eukaryota; Metazoa; Chordata; Mammalia; Primates; Hominidae.
GAUUCCUGGAGGGAGAGGGGAACGGACAGCAAACAAUAGACACAAUACGAUCGUGAGGUAUAUAGUUAAUGUUGGUGAUGAGUGCUCCUCAAAGGAAACAACUAAAACCAGACAAGGGAAGUCGGGGUGUCAGGGAGAAUGGUUUGUAGUAUUGAUGACAAUGGUUAAGGAAGGCCUGAGUUCUGCAAAGACCUCAAGGAUAUGAGGGACUAGAGUGCCCUCUGCUGUGGAAGAGCCUGCGCAAAGAUCCUGAGGUGGGAGGGGUCAGGGAGCCAACUCAUUUUACGGUAAGUGGAGGUGGGAUCCAGGGGAGGAUUCUGAGCAGAGGAGGGACGUGGCCCAAUUUGGGCUUUGAAAGGAUCCUGCUUGUCUGUGUGCCAGCAUCCUGGUGGUGGUUGGGGGAGUCUGCAUCAAUCCUGGGUGCUGUUACCUGAAAAAAUAGCAGGUGUUAGACGAAAGAACAGAUGUCUGGCCCAUUGUCUCCAGUCUGUUCCUGUCCACAGCUUCCCUUUAUGCUGAGCCCCUGCCACAUGCAUCAUCAUCCUGGCCAUGUGGCAUUGUCACAGACCGUCUCUCCUGCUAGCCUCCUAACUCAGGGCCUGGGUCUUCCCCAGCAUUAAGUAAAUCAGUCUCAGGCAGACAGCCCUUUAUAGGUGUUUGGGCCAGGUGCGGUGGCUCACGCCUGUAAUCCCAGCUCUUUGUGGGGCCGAGGUCUUUGAGCUCAGGAGUUCAAGACCAGCCUGGGCAGCAUGACAAAACCCUGUCUCUACCAAAAAUACAAAAAUUAGCCACGCAUGGUGGCACACACCUGUGGUCCCAGCUACUCGGGAGGCUGAGGUGGGAGGAUCGCUGGAGCCUGGGAAGUUGAGGCUGCAGUGAGCCGUGAUCAUGCCACUGCAUUCCAGCCUGUGUGAUGGAGAGAGACCCUGUCUCAAAAAAAAUAAA